Molecule: ribosomal RNA, 196 nt
Filed under: uncultured bacterium
Lineage: Bacteria
Description: partial 16S ribosomal RNA
Rfam family: Bacterial small subunit ribosomal RNA
Source: RNAcentral
ACGCUCGACACCUACGGGGGGCAGCAGUGGGGAAUAUUGCACAAUGGGGGAAACCCUGAUGCAGCAACGCCGCGUGAAGGAAGACGGUUUUCGGAUUGUAAACUUCUGUUCUUAGUGAAGAUAGUGACGGUAGCUAAGGAGCAAGCCACGGCUAACUACGUGCCAGCAGCCGGUAAUCUGAGCGGGCUGGCAAGGC